CAACCACACCCACCUGAACCUGUUCCUCUCCUUCAUCCUGAGAGCCGUCUCGGCGCUGCAAGGAUGACGCGCUGUGCUCCAGCUCCGGCACGCGGCACUGCCCCGACCGACAGUCCUCCUGGGCAAAGCUGAGCCAGCCUGCAGGAUGGAAAGCCUUUGGUGAGCAGGGAGGAGGCAAAGAGGAACAGAGGCAGAAAGGAGAACCUGCAGCCUGAAGAACCACAAUCCCUCAGAACACUUCCAAUCCUGGGAGCUGCCACAGGGCAUUCCCCUCAAGUUCCCAGAUACCUGCUGUCCAUCAUUUUAACGCUCUCUCAGGAAAAGCCAAGGAAGUUUCCUCUAUGAGAUACAAGGUCUUGCUGCCAAGUGAGUUACAGAAAGGUCUCCAGGUCCCAGAUGAUUUGGGGGUCCCAGAUGAGGGAUGAGAAGCAUAGUGGUGAGAUGCAGAGUGGCCCAGACACCCCAGAAGCCCAUGCAGCUUUCCCACCAUGCAAGGCCCUGUGUGCAGCCUGGUGGUGGCUCCCAGGCCCAGGGCUCCCAGCUCCUGUCUGAGGAAGAUCUGAGCUCCAGUGGAGGUGCAGCAGGGAAUCAGGGCCAAGCUGGACAGACCAGAUGAGGCAGGCAUUGGUGUGGCUGCAUGUGGCUUCUUUUUCUUCAGCACACCCCUGCCUGGCCCAAUUAAAUGACCAUACUUCGCACAAAGGCACAGAGGUUUCCUAAUAUCCACUCACAGAGGCCAUUUUCACAUCUCCAGGUGCCCAAAAGUCCCUCAACACAGGCUUGUCUGCGCAGAUGGUGCAUUGGCCCCAGUCACACCGCAGACCUGACCUCUCGAGGAGACCACCCCCCACCACGGGGUUGCCUCUUCACAGAGUCCUUUGUGUUCCCUCUCCCCUCUCUCCUGCCUUAUUUCCAGGGA
Non-coding RNA from Manis javanica (Malayan pangolin), 919 nucleotides. NCBI's taxonomy places the organism in Eukaryota, Metazoa, Chordata, Mammalia, Pholidota, Manidae. The record is from RefSeq and is a predicted model, not a curated record.